UAAAUUUUAAUUAAGUUUUGCUUACUUGAUCACAUAUUUAUGCAUGAGGUAUUCCAAACAAGGAGUGUGUUAUACGCAAAAGACAGUAAGAUACUAAAGGGUGAGUCACAUCUCAGAUAUCAAUGAGCGAUAAAAAAAAAAUCAUUACAAAAACGAAAAUUGGAAAAUUAAUAAAAGAUUAACAACAGUCUACAAAUAACAACACAAAAAUAAAUUAUUGAGCAACACGGAACCCCAUACAAAUAUGUGGAUGAUAUGUCAUGUCCUCGGUUUAAUCUUGCCUAUCCUGCUCCACAUGUGACACUUGUAGUCUAACUCCUAUUAAAUUCGUUGAUAAUUAAUAUCAGUUUACGUUAUACCGAAUUAGUAAUGGACAUCUCCAAAUUAUUAAACAAUCCGUCAUGCAAUAUAUGAAACAAUUAAAAAAUUUUCUAACUUGUGAAAUAGAAACACAUUUUUUUUUGACAAAAAUAUAGACAAUAUUGUGCACUG
Molecule: long non-coding RNA, 492 nt
Filed under: Mytilus galloprovincialis (Mediterranean mussel)
Lineage: Eukaryota; Metazoa; Mollusca; Bivalvia; Mytilida; Mytilidae
Source: RNAcentral